UACGUAGGGUGCAAGCGUUAAUCGGAAUUACUGGGCGUAAAGCGUGCGCAGGCGGUGAUGUAAGACAGAUGUGAAAUCCCCGGGCUCAACCUGGGGACUGCAUUUGUGACUGCAUCGCUGGAGUGCGGCAGAGGGGGAUGGAAUUCCGCGUGUAGCAGUGAAAUGCGUAGAUAUGCGGAGGAACACCGAUGGCGAAGGCAAUCCCCUGGGCCUGCACUGACGCUCAUGCACGAAAGCGUGGGGAGCAAACAGG
RNAcentral lists this ribosomal RNA (253 nucleotides) under uncultured bacterium. RNAcentral describes it as "partial 16S ribosomal RNA". It matches the Rfam family "Bacterial small subunit ribosomal RNA", at positions 524 to 776 of the family's 1533-position model. The record is from RNAcentral.